Molecule: unclassified non-coding RNA, 148 nt
Organism: Macaca fascicularis (crab-eating macaque)
Lineage: Eukaryota; Metazoa; Chordata; Mammalia; Primates; Cercopithecidae
Rfam family: Metazoan signal recognition particle RNA
About the family: The signal recognition particle (SRP) is a universally conserved ribonucleoprotein. It is involved in the co-translational targeting of proteins to membranes.
Source: Ensembl
GCCAGGCGUGGUGGUGGGCGCCUGUAAUCCCAGCUACUCGGGAGGCUGAGGCAGGAGAAUCGCUUGAACCUGGGAUGCCGAGGUUGCAGUGAACCAAGAUAACGCCACUGCACUCUAGCCUGGGUGACAGAGUGAGACUCUGACUCAA